RNAcentral lists this ribosomal RNA (497 nucleotides) under uncultured bacterium. Its description in RNAcentral is "partial 16S ribosomal RNA". It matches the Rfam family "Bacterial small subunit ribosomal RNA", at positions 28 to 507 of the family's 1533-position model. The record is from RNAcentral.
GAUGAACGCUGGCGGCGUGCCUAAUACAUGCAAGUCGAGCGAACAGACGAGGAGCUUGCUCCUCUGACGUUAGCGGCGGACGGGUGAGUAACACGUGGAUAACCUACCUAUAAGACUGGGAUAACUUCGGGAAACCGGAGCUAAUACCGGAUAAUAUAUUGAACCGCAUGGUUCAAUAGUGAAAGACGGUUUUGCUGUGACUUAUAGAUGGAUCCGCGCCGCAUUAGCUAGUUGGUAAGGUAACGGCUUACCAAGGCAACGAUGCGUAGCCGACCUGAGAGGGUGAUCGGCCACACUGGAACUGAGACACGGUCCAGACUCCUACGGGAGGCAGCAGUAGGGAAUCUUCCGCAAUGGGCGAAAGCCUGACGGAGCAACGCCGCGUGAGUGAUGAAGGUCUUCGGAUCGUAAAACUCUGUUAUUAGGGAAGAACAAAUGUGUAAUUAACUCUGCACGUCUUGACGUUACCUACUCAGAAAGCCCCGGCUAACUACGUG